RNAcentral lists this ribosomal RNA (789 nucleotides) under uncultured bacterium. RNAcentral's name for it is "bacterial SSU rRNA". It matches the Rfam family "Bacterial small subunit ribosomal RNA", at positions 57 to 839 of the family's 1533-position model. The record is from RNAcentral.
GCAGUCGAACGCGAAAGUUCCCUUCGGGGGAUGAGUAGAGUGGCGAACUGGUGAGUAACAGGUGGGUAAUGUACCUCGCAGUGGGGGAUAACCCCUGGAAACAGGGGCUAAUACCGCAUGUGGCGACGGGAUCGUUGGACCCCGUCGUUAAAGGCUUCGGCCGCUGUGAGAUCAGCCCGUCUCCGAUUAGCUAGUUGGUGGGGUAACGGCCCACCAAGGCUGCGAUCGGUAGCUGGUCUGAGAGGAUGGUCAGCCACACUGGGAUUGAGAUACUGCCCAGACUCCUACGGGAGGCAGCAGUCUAGGAGCUUCCACAAUGGGCGAAAGCCUGAUGGAGCGACGCCGCGUGCGGGAUUGAAGGCCGUGAGGUUGUAAACCGCUGUCAGCAGGGAAGAAUGCCCCGAUGGUGAAUCGGGGAGAGACGGUACCUGAAGAGGAAGCCCUGGCUAACUCCGUGCCAGCAGCCGCGGUAAUACGGAGAGGGCAAACGUUGUUCGGAAUCACUGGGCGUAAAGGGUGCGUAGGCGGCUCGGUCAGUCUGAUGUGAAAUCUCCUCGCUCAACGAGGAAACUGCAUUGGAUACUGCCGAGCUCGAGGAUGGGAGAGGCAGGUGGAAUUCCUGGUGUAGCGGUGGAAUGCGUAGAUAUCAGGAAGAACACUCGUGGCGAAGGCGGCCUGCUGGCCCAUUUCUGACGCUGAGGCACGAAAGCCAGGGGAGCGAACGGGCUUAGAUACCCCGGUAGUCCUGGCCGUAAACGGUGAACACUGGGUGUCGGGGGUAUCGACCCC